GGAUCCUUUCAGCAAUACAUAUACUGAAAUUGGAAUGAUAUAGAGAAGAUUAGCUGUGCCCCUGCACAAGGAUGACACACACAUGCGUGAAGCCUUCUUUAUUUGU
This 106-nucleotide small nuclear RNA is filed under the name Pogona vitticeps (central bearded dragon). Lineage: Eukaryota; Metazoa; Chordata; Lepidosauria; Squamata; Agamidae. The record is from RNAcentral.